Molecule: non-coding RNA, 31 nt
Filed under: Rattus norvegicus (Norway rat)
Lineage: Eukaryota; Metazoa; Chordata; Mammalia; Rodentia; Muridae
Source: RNAcentral
UGAUAACACGUUAAGGUGUAUACAUGGGCAU